This 72-nucleotide transfer RNA is filed under the name Heterophallus milleri. RNAcentral describes it as "tRNA-Trp". Lineage: Eukaryota; Metazoa; Chordata; Actinopteri; Cyprinodontiformes; Poeciliidae. The record is from RNAcentral.
AAGAGCUUAGGAUAACCCUCUAACCAAGGGCCUUCAAAGCCCUAAGUGGGGGUGAAAGGCCCCCAGCUCUUG